This 800-nucleotide ribosomal RNA is filed under the name uncultured bacterium. Its description in RNAcentral is "bacterial SSU rRNA". It matches the Rfam family "Bacterial small subunit ribosomal RNA", at positions 194 to 1006 of the family's 1533-position model. The record is from RNAcentral.
GGGGGUUGGAAAGUUUCGGCGGUUGGGGAUGGACUCGCGGCUUAUCAGCUUGUUGGUGGGGUAGUGGCUUACCAAGGCUUUGACGGGUAGCCGGCCUGAGAGGGUGACCGGCCACAUUGGGACUGAGAUACGGCCCAGACUCCUACGGGAGGCAGCAGUGGGGAAUAUUGCACAAUGGGCGGAAGCCUGAUGCAGCAACGCCGCGUGCGGGAUGACGGCCUUCGGGUUGUAAACCGCUUUCGCCUGUGACGAAGCGUGAGUGACGGUAAUGGGUAAAGAAGCACCGGCUAACUACGUGCCAGCAGCCGCGGUGAUACGUAGGGUGCGAGCGUUGUCCGGAUUUAUUGGGCGUAAAGGGCUCGUAGGUGGUUGAUCGCGUCGGAAGUGUAAUCUUGGGGCUUAACCCUGAGCGUGCUUUCGAUACGGGUUGACUUGAGGAAGGUAGGGGAGAAUGGAAUUCCUGGUGGAGCGGUGGAAUGCGCAGAUAUCAGGAGGAACACCAGUGGCGAAGGCGGUUCUCUGGGCCUUUCCUGACGCUGAGGAGCGAAAGCGUGGGGAGCGAACAGGCUUAGAUACCCUGGUAGUCCACGCUGUAAACGGUGGGUACUAGGUGUGGGGUCCAUUCCACGGGUUCCGUGCCGUAGCUAACGCUUUAAGUACCCCGCCUGGGGAGUACGGCCGCAAGGCUAAAACUCAAAGGAAUUGACGGGGCCCCGCACAAGCGGCGGAGCAUGCGGAUUAAUUCGAUGCAACGCGUAGAACCUUACCUGGGUUUGACAUGGAUCGGGAGCGCUCAGAGA